Molecule: small nuclear RNA, 107 nt
Organism: Cervus hanglu yarkandensis (Yarkand deer)
Lineage: Eukaryota; Metazoa; Chordata; Mammalia; Artiodactyla; Cervidae
Source: Ensembl
GUGGUCACUUAGGCAGCAUAUAUACUAAAAUUGGAAGAAUAGAGAAAAGAUUAGCAUGGCCCCUGCACAAGGAUGACACGCAAAUUCGUGAAGCAUUCCGUAUUUUU